GUAACGGACUCGGCGGGCGACUAGCUUACCUACACUAGCAAGUACGACGGACGAGGCACGGGAGCAAUCCUGGUGGCGAGUGGCGAACGGGUGAGUAAUAUAUCGGAACGUGCCCAGUCGUGGGGGAUAACGUAGCGAAAGCUACGCUAAUACCGCAUACGAUCUACGGAUGAAAGCGGGGGAUCGCAAGACCUCGCGCGAUUGGAGCGGCCGAUAUCAGAUUAGCUAGUUGGUGGGGUAAAAGCUCACCAAGGCGACGAUCUGUAGCUGGUCUGAGAGGACGACCAGCCACACUGGAACUGAGACACGGUCCAGACUCCUACGGGAGGCAGCAGUGGGGAAUUUUGGACAAUGGGCGCAAGCCUGAUCCAGCAAUGCCGCGUGCAGGAUGAAGGCCUUCGGGUUGUAAACUGCUUUUGUACGGAACGAAACGGUGAGCUCUAAUAAAGCUUGCUAAUGACGGUACCGUAAGAAUAAGCACCGGCUAACUACGUG
RNAcentral lists this ribosomal RNA (495 nucleotides) under uncultured bacterium. Its description in RNAcentral is "bacterial SSU rRNA". It matches the Rfam family "Bacterial small subunit ribosomal RNA", at positions 35 to 507 of the family's 1533-position model. The record is from RNAcentral.